ACGCUCGACACCUACGGGGGGCAGCAGUCGGGAAUAUUGCGCAAUGGAGGAAACUCUGACGCAGUGACGCCGCGUAUAGGAAGAAGGUCUUCGGAUUGUAAACUAUUGUCGUUUAGGGAAGAAAAAGGACAGUACCUAAGGAGGAAGCUCCGGCUAACUACGUGCCAGCAGCCGCGGUAAUCUGAGCGGGCUGGCAAGGC
RNAcentral lists this ribosomal RNA (200 nucleotides) under uncultured bacterium. RNAcentral describes it as "partial 16S ribosomal RNA". It matches the Rfam family "Bacterial small subunit ribosomal RNA", at positions 328 to 539 of the family's 1533-position model. The record is from RNAcentral.